This is a long non-coding RNA of Gossypium raimondii (Peruvian cotton), 485 nucleotides long. RefSeq lists it as uncharacterized. The transcript is spliced from 2 exons. NCBI's taxonomy places the organism in Eukaryota, Viridiplantae, Streptophyta, Magnoliopsida, Malvales, Malvaceae. The record is from RefSeq and is a predicted model, not a curated record.
AAAGAAUGAAACAGGAAAAAAAACCCUCAUAAAAAAAAAAAGAGCAGAUGCUCUGCUAGGGUUCUUAAACCCAUUUGUGCGCCGCCACCACUAGGCCACCCCUUGGCCUCCGAUUGCGACGGAGAGGGGUCACCGCGACGGCACGGGCCCCGACGGCACCAGGUAUGGGUACUGUUGGGGAGUGCUCACGCUCGUGGAGGCGCAAAUCGCGCGGAGGGAGGAUUCUGGCCCGCUUUGUGCGGCGGCUGGAGUUGCUGGAGGCUGCCAUUAGGGUUUGGGGUAUGGGGUUGCUAGUUGGGCCAGGUUUAGGGUUAUUGGGCCUGUAUAUUUGAUUUUUUAGUGGGCCGGACAAUUUGGGCUUGUACACUACCGAUCAAAGUUUUAGGGCUUAUCCCAAAAAAAACACCAACAAAAGAACUUUUCUAUUUGUUUGAGUCGUUUUGUUUUAGGAAUAUUAUAAAAUAUAAUUAUAUUGAUUAACACAA